GGAAGAGAGUUCAGUUUUGCUCUGAAGACAUUUGUUGACGGUGCUGUAAAGAGCAACAUCCUCUGAACUUUCAGAUCCUGGUGUUCUCAGAUUUCUUGAAUACAACUGCAGAAUAUUCCACCGUGUUGUCCUCUGGACUCUGUCUGGGUUUGUGGUUCCUCCUGAUGUUGGAGAAAUUGAUGCUGCUGUAAUGAAGCUCCAGCUGCUCUUCUGCUGCUUCUGCUGAUGGACCGUUGAUGUCUGGACUCAUGUUGACCUGCAGGAUAAGAAGAAUAAAAAAACUCACAUCUUCCCGAUCUGGACUUCAACUGAUGUUUAUGAGGCUGUUUGCUGUAAAAUAAUUAUCUUCCUUUUUAAUCAGAAUCUGUCCAAACCUCUUGGGGAAAUAAACAUGGUUCAACCACGUUUUUUAAAGGAUAAAUUGUUUUAGUUUUACUUAAAGAUCUUAUACCUGCUAUGGUUUGCUCAUCUCUAAGUUAUCUCUGCUAGAUACAGACAGAUAUAGAUCAACUGCACAUCUCUCAUUGUUGAAAGACGCCUCAAGAAUAUAAAGUAAAUCUUUCUGACCUGAGUUCUGUUGGCAGGUCUCUCCUUCUGCUUUGUAACACAUCUGUUCUUUCUGGUUUUGACAGUCAAAAAAAGAACAAAGUCAGUUAGAGAAGCAUAAAUGUGAACUUUAGUCCAAAUGUUCCAGUGAAUCAGGUAUAAAAUAGUUCUUUACCUGAUCCAAAGGAAGAUAGGGAUAAAGACAAAAAGUAAAACAGCAAAUGUGAUCGUUGCAGCUGCUGCUGAUUUCCGUGAACCUGAAAAGACAAAAGAAAACUCUUAAAACCUCGAGUCACAUCAACCUUUAGACGAGAUGACCCGUACGAGUUCUGCUGGUUCUUUGGGUCGUCCAGGUUCAUGUAUUCACAUCUUGGGGAGCACAGGUGUGUCUUGCUGUUCCCUUAAAGCUCAUACGGCCGCUUAACAAGAUGUUUGUGAAAAGGAAACAUACCAUUGUAGUCUGUGUGGUCAGAGUAUCUUAAAGUAUUUGUUAGAAUAACAUAAGUUCUACAUACUCAUAUCAAAUAAUGCUGUUGUACGGUGUCCUUACGUCACUCUAGCUGUUAGUAAGCUGUGAGAACUGUCCUCUUACUGAACGUCUGCAAACUCAGACGGACGGAGAAUCCAGCUGAUACAUCAGGACGUCCACACAAACUACAUUCUGAUGUUUAGUUUCCUUAUUUCUGACCGUCAGGCUGCAGUACGGAGCGCACAUGAACAGCACUAACGGGCUCUUUGUGCAGUCUGUAGGAUUUGAGGGGUUAAAAAAAGAAAAAAUCAUCCACACACCCGUGUCUCAUCUAUUUCACUCUUUCUUACACUUGUGUGGUGUAUUCGUGUUCACUACACCCUGUCGCCCGCAGCACGCCCAUAGAUAAAACUUGCAUGAACAUUUUCUCUCUAUGGGUUUACCAAGUGGUCAACAACCUUCAUAUUUUGUGUUGGUCGCCUGGAUUCCUCUGUAAGGGCUGUUGAAGCUAAAGCCUUAGAUGGAUUAAGGGAUGUUGUAAUUUAUAAAGAUUAUGUCAGCAGACACAAAGACAGAUUUAGUUUCUUCAAAGAACCAUCAGUUUGUCCCAGAAAUGAACCAACCUGUUUCUGUUUCAAUCAGAUGUAAACUGGACUGAAUUCUUCCUCUUCUGUUCUCUGCUUCACAGUAAUAAACUCCACUGAGUUCAGCUCUGAAGUCACUGAUGGUCCAGUUUGGUCCAGAUGCUUUUGUACAAAGACAAAAGAAGACAGAAGAUGGAGGAGACAUGAACUUACAGACUUCAGAUGAGCGCUGACCCUCAUAAGAACAGGAGUAAGUGUCUUCAGGAGAAACAGGAUUUCUGUAAGAAUAAGAAGUUUC
Long non-coding RNA from Oryzias melastigma (Indian medaka), 1897 nucleotides. RefSeq lists it as uncharacterized. The transcript is spliced from 3 exons. The record is from RefSeq and is a predicted model, not a curated record. NCBI's taxonomy places the organism in Eukaryota, Metazoa, Chordata, Actinopteri, Beloniformes, Adrianichthyidae.